This 298-nucleotide unclassified non-coding RNA is filed under the name uncultured bacterium. RNAcentral's name for it is "partial contains 16S ribosomal RNA, 16S-23S ribosomal RNA intergenic spacer, and 23S ribosomal RNA". The stretch from base 185 to 298 matches the Rfam family "Bacterial large subunit ribosomal RNA", at positions 1 to 114 of the family's 2925-position model. The record is from RNAcentral.
UCUAAGGAAAUGAAAGAGAGAACUUUUUCCUAUUCAAUUGUGAGUGACCUAUUGAAAAAGAGGUUACUUAAUAAGAGAGAUAAAGAUCUUUGAAAAUUGUAUAUAAAUAGUAAAUAAUGCGAAAGGUAGCAAGUUAAAUUAUUAGCAAUAGUAAUUUAAGAGCUGGAAAAAUAUAUAACAAAUAGGUCAAGCUACUAAGAGCGCACAGAGGAUGACUUGGCAUCAGGAGCUGAUGAAGGACGUGAUAAGCUGCGAUAAGCUACGGGUAGACGCAAAUAGUUAUUGAUCCGUAGAUUUC